Molecule: ribosomal RNA, 941 nt
Filed under: Sporormiella heptamera
Lineage: Eukaryota; Fungi; Ascomycota; Dothideomycetes; Pleosporales; Sporormiaceae
Description: mitochondrial SSU rRNA
Rfam family: Bacterial small subunit ribosomal RNA
Source: RNAcentral
CUUGACUAGGUCUUAUAAAGUUCUGGAUAAAGCUGAUAAUGACAACUUUAUAUCCAUAGGUCUCGACUAAAUCUUGUGCCAGCAGUCGCGGUAAGACAAGGGAGACGAGUGUUAUUCAUCUUGAACAGGUAUAUUGGGUACCUAGACUGUGUAUUUAGGCUUUUAUAGUACCUACUACACUAGAGUUUAAUAUGUGAGAGGAAGAUGUCAGAAUUGUUGGAGUAGAGAUGAAAUCCUUUAAUACUAAUAGGACUGAUAAUGGCGAAGGCAAACCUCUAUGUAUAUGUACAUUUUUUUACUAAAAUAUCGGUUUAUACAGAACAUGUGUAUCGAAAUUAUCGGUUUAUACAUAACAUGUAUGUCGAAGAAAAGGUUUACACAGACCAUAUAGAGCGAAAAAAAAAGGUAGAAAAGAGUACAGAACUGACGUUGAGGGACGAAGGCUCAGAGAGUGAAGAGGAUUAGAUACCCCCGUAGCCUGGGCAGACAAUGAUGAGUGCCAUAGGUUGGCUUUUAAGUUGAACUAUAAAUGAAAGUGGAAGCACUCCACCUCAAGAGUAAUGUGGCAACGCAGGAACUGAAAUCAUUAGACCGUUUCUGAAACCAGUAGUGAAGUAUGUUAUUUAAUUCGAUGAUCCGCGAAUAACCUUACCACAAUUUGAAUGCUCUAAAUUUUAUAUAGUAAUUGUGUGGUUAACACAUAUACAUUAGUAUAAUCACAAAAAACAGAUAGCAUAUAGCUAUAAUUAUAUAUUUAGACCACAUGCGUUGCAUGGCUGUCUUCAGUUAAUGUCGUGAGAUUUGGUUAGGUCCAUUAAAUUAACGUAAACCCUUGUCUUAUUUAAUACAAUAAGGCAGCUCUCCGCUUACAAUUGGAUAUGAUAACAGGGACUAAGACAAGUCAUCAUGGCCUUAAUAUUGUGGGCUAUAGACGUGCCACA